UACAGAGGGUGCGAGCGUUAAUCGGAAUUACUGGGCGUAAAGAGCUCGUAGGCGGCUUGUCGCGUCGAUUGUGAAAGCCCGGGGCUUAACUCCGGGUCUGCAGUCGAUACGGGCAGGCUAGAGUGUGGUAGGGGAGAUCGGAAUUCCUGGUGUAGCGGUGAAAUGCGCAGAUAUCAGGAGGAACACCGGUGGCGAAGGCGGAUCUCUGGGCCAUUACUGACGCUGAGGAGCGAAAGCGUGGGGAGCGAACAGG
This 253-nucleotide ribosomal RNA is filed under the name uncultured bacterium. Its description in RNAcentral is "partial 16S ribosomal RNA". It matches the Rfam family "Bacterial small subunit ribosomal RNA", at positions 524 to 776 of the family's 1533-position model. The record is from RNAcentral.